UUCGGAAUAUUCGGCAAUGGACGAAAGUCUGACCGAGCGACGCCGCGUGCGGGAUGAAGGCCCUCUGGGUUGUAAACCGCUGUCACAGGUGAGCAAAUCAUAGAUUGAUAAUACCAAUCUAUGUUGAGUUAGGCUUGAGAGGAAGCCCCCGCUAAUCACGUGCCAGCAGCGGCGGUAAUACGUGAGGGGCGAACGUUGUUCGGUGUCACUGGGCUUAAAGGGCGCGUAGGUGGUUGCGUAAGUAAGGUGUGAAAGCCCUCGGCUUACCCGGGGAAUUGCGCCUUAUACUGCGUAGCUUGAGGAUCAAAGGGGAAGGGGGAACUCCAGGUGUAGCGGUGAAAUGCGCAGAUAUCUGGGGGAAGGCCGGCGGCGAAGGCGCCCUUCUGGUUGAAUCCUGACACUGAGGCGCGAAAGCGUGGGGAGCAAACAGGAUUAGAUACCCCCGUAGUCC
This 451-nucleotide ribosomal RNA is filed under the name uncultured bacterium. RNAcentral's name for it is "bacterial SSU rRNA". It matches the Rfam family "Bacterial small subunit ribosomal RNA", at positions 355 to 796 of the family's 1533-position model. The record is from RNAcentral.